This 4965-nucleotide unclassified non-coding RNA is filed under the name Hevea brasiliensis (rubber tree). Lineage: Eukaryota; Viridiplantae; Streptophyta; Magnoliopsida; Malpighiales; Euphorbiaceae. The record is from RNAcentral.
GUGCAUGUCUCAGACACUUAAAUUUAGAGAAUAAUCGAUUUUUUUAAGUAAUGAGCGUACAAUUUUUUAGUGCAUCGAAUACACCGUAUAAUUUGCCAUGAAAUUAACAAGGACCUUAUUAAUGAUGAUGAGAAGUUCAUAUUCUAGUAAUCACAAUACCGAAACACAACAGAAGUCACAUGUUGGACUUUGUAGUAAUCCUCUCCUCCAUCUUCAAGCCUGGUUUUGAAUGCUUUAAGCAUUGAUCUUAUCUCCAUUUUCUGAAGGGAAGUGAUGAACCUUAGUCCAUCAGGAACCAUCUUCAUAGAUGUGCAAUUUGAAAUCACUAAACUGCACAGAUUCAACAUGGCCCCUUCUUCCACCCUCCAGUCUUCUAAGUUGGGCAAGUCACAAAGGAACAGAGACUUCAGUUGUGGAAAACCUUUGUCACAGCAAACCAUUGCAGACCCAAGAAAUGAAUCCAUUUGUAAACGGAGGAUUCUUAAGUUUGGCAGCUUUUCCAAUGUCACCAUUGGAUCUUCCAUAAGUUUAGAUCCCUGCAGGUUCAAUUUGGCGAGGUUUGAGGAAAAUUGAUGGCUCUCUGGUAGCUUCUCUAUCUGGCCUUCUAUAUGCAGCUUAUAAAGAUGAGGACUUUCUGUAAUAACUUGAAUUACAGUAGAAUCUUCAUUACUGACAAAGGACAAAGUCUCCAAGUGGUUAAAUGAAGCACCAAGUGAUUUGAAGAGUAGCCCGAAUUUCGGAUCAUCUAUUACUAGUUUCUUGAGAUUGGUCAGACUUAGUAGAUCUUUUAUAUUACAUUUUUCUGCAGGAAAGUUCACUAGUGUCUGCAGGUCGCUCAGUGUAGCCAACUGCCAUUUAUCUGAAUCAUCACCACAGGAUUCAGGAAGAUAUAAAUGCCUCAACCUUUGCAUCUUCCAUAUCACAUUUGGUAUUUGUACAGUUGAAUUCCAAGUCAAAAGGUCUAGGGUCUGCAAGUACCUCAAGUUGCCUAUUGUAAAUGGCAAUUCAUCUAUAUCAGUAUCCCUCAGGCUCAAGAAUCUCAAGUGGAUCAACAUGCCAAUUUCUUUUGGUAACUUUCCAUCAUGACUCUGAAUUCCUUCAAGAUCUAAGACCCUGAGUAACUUAAAGUUGUUGAAAACUGAUUUUAUUGAUCCCCAUUUCUCUGCAUGACAUGGUUUUUCAUGGAAAUACAGAAGAGAUCUAAGGUGGGAAUUUCUUUUGUAUCGAGAGGGGACAAAUCUUUUAAGGUCUCCAUCCAAAAAGAUUGCAAGUCUACGAAGCCUACCAAUUGACCUUGCUUCAUUUACCAGGGAUGAAGGAAAUGAGUAAACCGAGUGAUCAUUUGCAUGCAAUUGACAAUAAGUCUCUAGAAAAUUUUCCUGUUUUGCCUUUGACAAGCAUAAGUCUCGCAUAAGGUCAUGCAUACGGCAAGUUCUAAUCCUUCCAGUUGAGCCUCUUUCUACUACCUGAACCAUACACCUCUGGACCAACUCAUCUAAGUAACGCUGAGCUACAUCCUCCAUAAUUUCCUCCAUUUCUUCAUUGUGAAUGCAUGAUAUGAAUCCCUCAGCAACCCACAUCCGGAUCAACUUUUUCGUAGGUAUCUCAUAAUCUUCAGGGAAAUUGGCCAAGUGAAGGAAGCAAGGUUUCAACUGAUAUGGCAGUUCAUGGUAACUUAAAGCUAAAACCUCAGAUACUCCGAAGAGUUGUUCAUGGCCUUUGCCUCUCCUCAAGUGUGAAACAAUAUUUCGGCGAACUGUGUCCCACUCAUAGAUAGUUGUCUUAGUUGCCAGAAGUCCUCCAAGCACAAUGAUGGCCAAUGGUAGUCCUGUACAUUUCCCAAUCAUUUCUCUUCCCAGUUCCUCCAUUUGUGCUCUAAUUCUGAAGUCUGCAAUAAGCAUACAUGAACAUUUGACAGCAUUUAAAUUGAUCACUACUAAUAGUAAUAGUGAAGUGAUGUUACUCAAGAAAAGACUAUAAAAGUCCCAUAUUUGACAUCAUUAAUAUACUUGAUGAAUUAAAGUCUGACCCCUAGAAUAAGAAUGCAGAAAAAUAAUGAAGUGGGCAUACUCUAGUCAUGUGUUAUUCAUUUCCCAGUUAGGGACGUUUAGAGUUGCUCAUAUAUUCCCUUUAGCAUGUCUUGAAACUUUAAUAGUACUUUCUGUUGCAAAUAGUGAGUCCAUAGACCUACAUAGUAUCUGAAUACUGAAAGAAUUCAUGAAUUUCAUCCCCAACUAUUAAAAAUAAAGAAAUUUAAAGUUAUUUAAUGUUGCAGUAACUUGAGAGUGCUUACAAUUAUUUCUUUCAUAGCAUAGUAUACAUAGUUAAAUCUCUUUAAAUCAUGAAGUUGCUCCUAGCAUCUUUGAUUAUUUAAACAAUCCUUCUAAGGUAUAUAUAAUGUCAAGGAAAAGGACAGGGAAAGAGCCGGCUGAAGUGUGCUCUUUUGCUUCAAUUUGUUUUCUUUCUUGUAAAAAAAUCAGUGAAAGGUUUCAAAGCUAAAUUCUGAAAACGAUAGAUAACAUAUUUAUCUGAAAGUGGGGAACUAGUUUCAAAUUAGAAGAACUACCUGGAUAAUUUCUGGCAAGGAAUGCCUUCCUUUUAAACAAUUCCCAGCUCUCUUCAUCAUUUAAGUAUCUUGGUUGAUGGAGAAAGCAUGUUGGAUCUGGAUACAAUGCAACAUCCCUGAUACGAGUUGUGAGCAAUAAUUUGCUGCCAAACAUUCCAGUUCUAUAUGGAAAAGCAGGACGCAGAUUAUUCCAAGUCUCAACAGUCCAAAUAUCAUCCAAGAUCACUAAACAUUUCUUCUCUUGUUGAACUUGAUAAAGCAUCUUAACCAGUUCAUCGUCCCUUAGACUUGAAAUUUCCUCCCUCUGCUCUUUAGAUGGAUUGAUUAGCUUAAACAAGAUUCCUUCCCAGACAUCCCUGGGUUGACAUUGCUGGGAUAUAUAAGCCCAAGCAAAAGCUUCAAAAUGAUGCCUAACAUCAGGAUUAUGAUACAUCUUCUUAGCAAGGGUAGUCUUUCCAAGGCCUCCCAUUCCAUAAAUGGAAACAACAGUUUUUUCACUGCUCACCAAUUGUUCCACCAAAAUUUUCACAUCUUCCUCCAACCCAACUAUAUCAUCUUCCACAAUAUGGGAAUAAGACCUUCUCAAAUGUUGCCGCCUUCCUCCCUGUAGAGAAGGACCAGAGCUUUCUCUAGGUUGUAUCCCAUAAGUUUGCAAGCUUGUUGUAAGAUUAGAAAUCCUGGAUUUAAUAGUUUGGAUCUCAGAACCAACCCUGUAAAGCUCUACAGAUUCCUUAGCAAUUGUAGCAUACCUCUUGAUGACAUUGACUACACCUGAUCUUCUCCUCAAAGCAACUUUGAGGGCGAACUCUUCAAUGAUAUCCUCUACAUCAUAAGCAGCUUCUCGGAUUUCAGAAACCCAAUUGCGAAUAGUUUCUUCCUCGUCUUGCCUUGUAUCGGCAUCUUUCAAGAAAGAUUGCAUCCGCCUGAGCUCAAGCUGCAUGCCAACCACUUCCUCCUUCACUCCAUCUAGGAAAGUUGCUUCCUGAAUCAGCAAGUCAGCAAGUCCUUGCACCACUGUUGAUACUGCAGACUCUGCCAUGUUCUGUUCUGUUACAGAGAAGCUCUCUCCUUCCCUUUCUCUAUGACUAUGUCCCAAGUUUGAUUGGAUUUAGAAAAUAAGAUGGUAGAUGAGAACAGAGCUCUCCUUAGCAAUUAUCAAAUAUAAAGAAAUGGGAAGGAAACUGUAAUAUUAAAAGUCCAAAGAUACCCACAUGAGCACGAGGCCCACAAUCCGCGUAGUAAUCGCCAGCCAAUCCUUGAAUGUGGGUCAGAAAAUAAACUAGUCCACACAAACAGGCUGCUUAGAGAAACGUGUAGCGGAAGUACGGAGAAACUUUCUUUAUCAUUACUAAAAUAACAAGUAGAAUACGACGUGAAAAGCCCUGAAAAUCUCUACUAAACCGAACAAUUCAGAAAUCGAGGAGCUUAAACAACAGGAUAGGUUAAAUUCGGCUCAAUAGGUCACUACAGUAAUACAGUUCAACUUCAACAUCCUUUGUCAAAUCAAAACUUCACAGCUGAUCCACAUGGCAGAUAGUAAGACAUCAUUGAUAGAUUAUGCAUUUGGCUUGGCUCACAGGGUGAUUUUGGUAUAACAUUAAAGUUACUCUAUUCAUAAACAGAAGAUUACAGAUUCAAGCAAUGAAAACAAUAUCUAUAGAGAAUUAACCCUUUUUGUAUCCCACAUAUACAGGCUAUUUCUUUCACUGAGUCAUCUUUUUAUUUGCUUUGGCUUAGACAUGUCUCUAGAAAAAUAUAUUUUAAAAGCACAAUUUAUUUUCUACUUACUAUACGAAUUUUUAUUAUUAUUAGAUAUUCAUAGAAUAUUAAUCCCUACGAGGAUUGUGGCUGCCUUUCCCACGACUUUCUUUUAGUGCAAAUGCAACACAAGAUGUUGAUAACAGAACGAAUGGAUGAGAAGAACUAAUUUGUUAUAUAUUAGCAUGGUUCAAUCUGUUCCCUUCAGGUACCACUUUCAUGGAUAGCAUGAAUUUUGCCUGUUCUGUAGGUCACCUACGCUAUCUUCAACGGUGCUUUUGUAGCUAACUAAUUGCAUUCUCAAAUUUGCCUGUCUGGUGACAAAUUUGUAAUGCAUUUUAUAUCAGGUUAAGCUAUUAUUCUCCGGCUUGCAAGAAAAUAAAUUAGAUCUUUACCACUUUAGGCCUCAGUCCAUAUUAAACAUCCCUGAAUAAUCAAAGACUAAUUGAAUUGAGGUAGGAGGUGAGCAUUCGGUUAACCAAACUAAAUUUUUAAGUAACUGAAUUAUUAUCUAACUCUAAAAAUAUUAGCGGAAGCGAAUUGAAAUUAAGAAAAAAUCGAAUUUAAUCGAAAUUAAAAUUAAAAAUAUUCGAUUGGUUAUCAAUUAGUGUCGAAUUAAUUAAAAUAUAUAUAUAUAUAUA